UAGCAUAUGUUUAGUCUAGCCAAGAAGGUGCAAGGGCCAAAGGGAAGUGGCUCAGGGAGUAAAGGGGAGAGAAGGGAGGGCAGGACAUGGCUGCCACCAGAGGGUCCCUGGGCCGGGACCCAGAGUAGUGGGCGGGCCUGGGUCCCUCCCUCCCCCCUUACAUUGCACCUGGUUGUGGAGGAGGGUGGCCCAAUACAGACUGUGGCUUGCACCUGAGGCAAAGGGCUAAACUUUGGGGCUGCAGUUGGCCAUGUGGUCAGGUACAGACUGAGGACUGCUGAUCUCCUGGAAGGGGAGAGAACUGAGUGGGGCACAGCCAGAAGGCUGUGUCCAGAAGAAGACGCCGCAAGACAGGGAGCAACGUGGGUCCCAGACAGCACAGCAGAGCAGACAAUGGGUGAGACACCACCUGCAGAGGGCGCUCCAAAGCUGGACAGUGUUAAUUCCCAGAGCAACCAGCAGGAGGCACCGUGGUGGUUGUGACGGCAUUUCCUGGCUCUGAGAGGACCUCAGCGUGCCACAAGAUAACUGCUGUUUCCUGCUCUGGCACACCCAGCACUAUCCACAGUGGCUCCAUGGUUACACUGGUUCAUGGGAGAGAAUCAAUGUGCACCAAAAGACACAAAUGGAGGAAUGAGCCUGCCACUACCAAAGACACUGGAUGCGGAUAGAGGACUAUCACUCCCCUCUUCUCC
Mauremys reevesii (Reeves's turtle) is the source of this 695-nucleotide long non-coding RNA. RefSeq lists it as uncharacterized. The transcript is spliced from 3 exons. The record is from RefSeq and is a predicted model, not a curated record. Lineage: Eukaryota; Metazoa; Chordata; Testudines; Geoemydidae.